CUACCAGUCGCCAAUGGCUGACACGCGUUCAGGACAUUGUCCUGGCCCUGCAAGAGCGGAUUUCGGCUUCCCCACUUUGGAAUCAGGAAAACUAUUCGGUUCAGGUCAAUCUCCCCAUGAAUCAUCAUUGCGUGGCAUGGUGGAUUGAGAUCUUCUACCACCCUUGUGGUGCACCUUCAUAUAUGAAGGCAAGUGUUCGUUCCUGGGCUUGCCCACUGUCAACUAGACGAUGCCGGCCCAGCAGAUUAUUGAAGAUGCCCAACAUAAGCACCGUGGCAGACUAUGUGUUGAAAUUGGGUCUAAUUUAUCGUUGGGUGAAUUGGUUUGGUGAAUGGAGAAUGGACCAAUGAAUGAAGACCAGCUAUAUUGAGUUUAUUUUUCUUUUAAAUAUUUAACAGUAAAUAUAAAAGAACUUGGAUUGACUGACCGAUGUACGAGUUUAACGCAAACCUGUUUUGGCAACAGUCUUUGACGUUCUUUUGUCCGGAAAUCAGCAGUUCGACAGUUGUUGAAGAUUUCCUGGAUAUACUUUAGGAAAGCUUGCUGAAACCAUUUUCUCGUCCCGCCAUUUUGAGGGCUGGGUAAAGAGAAAGGAAUUGGAGUUGCUCAUUUCAGUGGCCAUUUUGUUUAACAAGGUGCAGUAGCAACUUGCGUGCUUUGUACACAGAACUGACAUGCCUUUUAUCGGAAUCCUGGAAAUUGAUUACGGAUUUACAGCUAACAAGUUAAUCGACUACAUUAUGGAGAAAAUGGAAUCGUUCUGAACUGCAAGUUGUCGAUACCUAUAGGGGAAUUCUUAAAGGUUUCCAGAUGUACUGGCAAGAAUCGGUAUCAAAUUAUGGUAGUUGAAUACUCGCACACAGGUUCAACAUGGAAGAAAUGUGCAAGUGUUGAUGUUGCAGUGGACAAACGGGUGGUGUUAAACAAAUGGAUCUGAAAGUUACACAUAAGCCACGAGGAAAUUCAAACUUAACAGCCAUGAAGAUGAUGGUUCAAGUAAACCUGUUGAACUGAAGGUGGUAGGUGAAAAAAAGAAAUAUAUAAAAUUAAAGUGGGAAAAGUAACACAGCAGCUUGGGCAAUUAAUCCAACUUGUUACAGUAGAAUUUCCAUUCUACACUAUCUGCUACAAAAUUUCUCAGUAAUUUUUAAGUAUAAAUAUUGUGGUAUGUGGUCUGUGUGCAGGAAAUGAAUGAAAUUUGAUGUGUAAUAUUGAGAUAGGAAGACGAAUGUUGUUGUUCAAGUGGCAGACGCAAAACACAAUGGUGGAAGAUUUGUUUGGUUGUUAAAUUGUAGUGAAAAUGUUCCCCCGGCGUUGUACGGUGCUGCGAGGUGACAAGAUGAUUGUGCAUGAUAGUAGGUGGAAAACAAUUGAGAGGUUGUUUAAUGAUGUUGCACAAAAUGAUAUUGUGACACAAAAACAGGGAAGGGAUUAAGUUUGACUACUUUACUGUAUGUAUUGUUUUAAAUGCUUUUAUUGUAUUGCUUCAAACAAUUUGUUUGUUGGGAAAUUACGAGCUGUGAGGAUGGGAAAGUUUUUGAGACUUCCUGACUGUAAUGGUUGUUAAAUUGCCGUGUGAAUUUACUCUGCACAUCUAUCUUCGUUCGAUGGCCGGGCUAGCAGAUUAUUGAAGACGCCCAACAUAGGUGAGGUGCAUCAGUUUGGAGUUUGAUGGAAAAAAAGCCUGUUUCUGCAUCCUUAUUUAUACUGGUAAAUUACUACGUACGGGUAGAUUUCUGGCA
Long non-coding RNA from Daphnia carinata, 1742 nucleotides. RefSeq lists it as uncharacterized. The transcript is spliced from 10 exons. NCBI's taxonomy places the organism in Eukaryota, Metazoa, Arthropoda, Branchiopoda, Diplostraca, Daphniidae. The record is from RefSeq and is a predicted model, not a curated record.